Molecule: long non-coding RNA, 436 nt
Organism: Gorilla gorilla gorilla (western lowland gorilla)
Lineage: Eukaryota; Metazoa; Chordata; Mammalia; Primates; Hominidae
Exons: 3
Source: RefSeq, a predicted model, not a curated record
AUCCAUAACAAGUGAAAUUUUUAAAACUCUUCAUUUGCUUUUUUUCAGAAAGUGGUGCAGAUAGGACUACACAAUCUUUUCAAGGAAAUAUUAUUGUCAAGCUGCUUAUUUCUGUUCUAUUAUUUGAUUAAUGUCCGUCUACUAUUACACACCCAAAAAUUAUUAAUGAAUAAGACGUUUUGUUUUAGAUGGAAGAGAAGAGACAUUUUAAAACACCUGCUUUUAUUUUCUUAAGAUCAGAAAACUAAAGCUCAGAGAUUAAGUUCAGCCAGGAACACGGUGGAGAUAGCAGAGCUGGGUAUACUUCAAAGGACUUCUUUUAAAAGUGUUGGAUUUGAAUCCAGGCUGUUGAUUCUGUGGUGUUGGUUCCAAGACUUAAGGACAUUAGGAGUAUUAUACUUACGCGUCCUGAUGAUCACCUGAGAAAAUUAUAAGG